GUCCGCUCUGGCAGCACAUGUACUAAAAUUGGAAUGAUACAGAGAAGAUUAACUUUGUCCCUGGGCAAAGAUGACACACAAAUUCACAAAGUGGUUCACAUUGUC
Molecule: small nuclear RNA, 105 nt
Organism: Pteronotus mesoamericanus
Lineage: Eukaryota; Metazoa; Chordata; Mammalia; Chiroptera; Mormoopidae
Source: RefSeq, a predicted model, not a curated record